UAUUGGGAUUCGAUUUAGCCAUGCUAGUCGAACGAGUUUAGACUCGUGGCGAAUAGCUCAGUAACACGUGGCCAAGCUCCCCUUCAGUCAGCGAUACCCUCGGGAAACUGAGGUUAACAGCUGAUACAAAACGCCAGCUGGAAUGCGGCGUUUCAGAAAGACAUCGCUGAAGGGUGCGGCUGCGGCCGAUUAGGUAGACGGUGGGGUAACGGCCCACCGUGCCAGUAAUCGGUACGGGUGAUGAGAGUCAGAGCCCGGAGACGGAAUCUGAGACAAGAUUCCGGGCCCUACGGGGCGCAGCAGGCGCGAAACCUUUACACUGCACGGAAGUGCGAUAGGGGAAUCCCAAGUGCGAGGGCAUAUUAGCCCUCGCUUUUCUCGACUGUAAGGUGGUCGACGAAUAAGAGCUGGGCAAGACCGGUGCCAGCCGCCGCGGUAAUACCGGCAGCUCAAGUGAUGUCCCAUAUUAUUGGGCCUAAAGCGUCCGUAGCUGGCCGACCAAGUCUCCCGGGAAAUCCACCCGCCCAACGGGUGGGCGUCCGGUAGAAACUGGCCGGCUUGGAACCGGAAGGCUCAGAGAGUACGUCCGGGGUAGGAGUGAAACCCCGUAAUCCCGGACGGACUACCGAUGGCGAAAGCACUCUGAGAAGACGGCUUCGACAGUGAGGGACGAAAGCUCGGGUCUC
Molecule: ribosomal RNA, 686 nt
Filed under: uncultured archaeon
Lineage: Archaea
Description: bacterial SSU rRNA
Rfam family: Archaeal small subunit ribosomal RNA
Source: RNAcentral